GAGGGCAUAGCUCAGUGGUAGAGCACAUGCUUGGCAUCCUGGGUUCAAUCCCUAGUACCUCCA
RNAcentral lists this transfer RNA (63 nucleotides) under Camelus bactrianus (Bactrian camel). It matches the Rfam family "tRNA". Rfam says of the family: Transfer RNA (tRNA) molecules are approximately 80 nucleotides in length. Their secondary structure includes four short double-helical elements and three loops (D, anti-codon, and T loops). Further hydrogen bonds mediate the characteristic L-shaped molecular structure. tRNAs have two regions of fundamental functional importance: the anti-codon, which is responsible for specific mRNA codon recognition, and the 3' end, to which the tRNAs corresponding amino acid is attached (by aminoacyl-tRNA synthetases). tRNAs cope with the degeneracy of the genetic code in two manners: having more than one tRNA (with a specific anti-codon) for a particular amino acid; and 'wobble' base-pairing, i.e. permitting non-standard base-pairing at the 3rd anti-codon position. RNAcentral also lists the same sequence under 3 other names. Lineage: Eukaryota; Metazoa; Chordata; Mammalia; Artiodactyla; Camelidae. The record is from Rfam by way of RNAcentral.